UCGCACCACGAGGCGCUGUCU
This 21-nucleotide non-coding RNA is filed under the name Arabidopsis thaliana (thale cress). Lineage: Eukaryota; Viridiplantae; Streptophyta; Magnoliopsida; Brassicales; Brassicaceae. The record is from RNAcentral.